RNAcentral lists this ribosomal RNA (334 nucleotides) under uncultured Iamia sp. RNAcentral describes it as "bacterial SSU rRNA". It matches the Rfam family "Bacterial small subunit ribosomal RNA", at positions 568 to 898 of the family's 1533-position model. Lineage: Bacteria; Bacillati; Actinomycetota; Acidimicrobiia; Acidimicrobiales; Iamiaceae. The record is from RNAcentral.
CUCGUAGGCGGUUUCGUAAGUCGGAUGUGAAAACUCAGGGCUCAACCCGGAGACGCCAUCUGAUACUGCGAUGACUGGAGUCUGGUAGGGGAACACGGAAUUCCUGGUGUAGCGGUGAAAUGCGCAGAUAUCAGGAGGAACACCGAUGGCGAAGGCAGUGUUCUGGGCCAGUACUGACGCUGAGGAGCGAAAGCGUGGGGAGCAAACAGGAUUAGAUACCCUGGUAGUCCACGCCGUAAACGUUGGGCACUAGGUGUGGGUCCUCAUCAACGGGAUCCGUGCCGUAGCUAACGCAUUAAGUGCCCCGCCUGGGGAGUACGGCCGCAAGGCUAAA